Long non-coding RNA from Salvia miltiorrhiza (redroot sage), 785 nucleotides. RefSeq lists it as uncharacterized. NCBI's taxonomy places the organism in Eukaryota, Viridiplantae, Streptophyta, Magnoliopsida, Lamiales, Lamiaceae. The record is from RefSeq and is a predicted model, not a curated record. The transcript has 3 exons.
GAUGAUAAUUAAAAAUUAUAUUACCUACCAAAAUAUAAGCUGUCGAUUUAUUAGAAUAAGGGUUAAUAAGUAAUUAGGCUUGUGAAUAAAAAAGGAAGAUGCUAGAGAUUUAAUGAAAUCCCUGAAUUACCGCGUUGACAUUCCGUGGAAGAAUUGCUUGGGUGAAUAUUGUGUGUUUUCACAGCCCAUUUACCCUUUCAUCUUCUUCUUUUUUCGUCCGCCACUAUUGAGGAAGAAGAAGUUGUUCAGGCUAUCAUCUAAAUCGGUCCAAGCUUCGGCGAUUCAUCCUCAGAGGAGCGCUAUUCAUCUAAAUCGGUCCACGCUUCGGCGAUUGAAAAAGCAAGGCCACCAAAUCGAGAAAUCAUCUUGGCAAAUAAGUUGAUAGAGGUCGAGCAAAAUGCUACAAAGUGGAGGAAUAGACAGAAGUUAUAUGGUGAAUAUAUGGCUAAAAAGCAAGACUUGAAGGUGCAGAGGUUGCAGCUGGAGAAGUUGUCAAGGUUAAUAAGGAUGGAGGUAUAGCAAAGGCUGCUGCUGGACACGUUGUCAAGGAUACAAUUAUCGAUGCCUCAAACAAACAAUUGCCUGAAGGUGGUUCGCCUACAUUUCAAAGAAAGAGAACGCAGAGUGUCACUCGUUCAGUCCUUAAAUAGAUUGUAUUUAAUUUAGCAUUGCUUACAUGUAAAUUGCUAUUAUUUUCUAGUUCACAUCUAGAUAUUGGAUGAACAAGUUUUGUUCAGAAAUUAUAAUAUUAAAACUAAAUACAUAGUAGUAUAUGACAAUGAUAU